This 456-nucleotide ribosomal RNA is filed under the name uncultured bacterium. RNAcentral's name for it is "bacterial SSU rRNA". It matches the Rfam family "Bacterial small subunit ribosomal RNA", at positions 1 to 507 of the family's 1533-position model. The record is from RNAcentral.
AGUAGUUUGAUCCUGGCUCAAGAACGAACGCUGGCGGCAUGCCUAACACAUGCAAGUCGAACGAGACCUUCGGGUCUAGUGGCGCACGGGGUGCGUAACGCGUGGGAAUCUGCCCUUGGGUUCGGAAUAACAGUUAGAAAUGACUGCUAAUACCGGAUAAUGUCUUCGGACCAAAGAUUUAUCGCCCAGGGAUGAGCCCGCGUAGGAUUAGCUAGUUGGUGAGGUAAAGGCCCACCAAGGCGACGAUCCUUAGCUGGUCUGAGAGGAUGAUCAGCCACACUGGGACUGAGACACGGCCCAGACUCCUACGGGAGGCAGCAGUGGGGAAUAUUGGACAAUGGGCGAAAGCCUGAUCCAGCAAUGCCGCGUGAGUGAUGAAGGCCUUAGGGUUGUAAAGCUCUUUUACCCGGGAUGAUAAUGACAGUACCGGGAGAAUAAGCCCCGGCUAACUCCGUG